AUGACUUUGACUGAUACUCCUCUACCCAAGCUGAAGAAUCCCUUCUCUAAGAAGCAAAACUUCAAGGUUGAUGACUUCUUUCACGAGCAUGUGUUCUUCACAGACUACAACCCAUAUGACUCUACUCGUCUUUGA
RNAcentral lists this ribosomal RNA (135 nucleotides) under Triticum aestivum (bread wheat). RNAcentral's name for it is "partial small subunit ribosomal RNA". Lineage: Eukaryota; Viridiplantae; Streptophyta; Magnoliopsida; Poales; Poaceae. The record is from RNAcentral.